UUUGCCCAUCAACUGGCAUUGCUAUUUAUUUUUUCUUUGUCUGGUAUUAAAUGACUUAAUAAUUGUACUGGUCUAGCUACUAUACUUGACACAAGUGGGAAUAUACUUUUCAGUGGCUGGUGGGAUUUUUACUUAAUGUUACUUUUACAUUACCUAGCAUAGUAAAUGCCAUUGGUUAUGGGAAAAUAUACGCAGACAUUUGAGUUCUGUUCCAGCGAUCAAGCUACAAAGCCAGCCCUUUUAAAAUCCAUCUUUGUGUAAUUUAGAAAUAGCCACAAACUGUAAAAGGCUUAGCUUGAAAUCAGAAUAAAUGCCAAGACAGCAGGGGUUUUGUUUGCUUGAUCCCUGGAAUCUUGUUAAUUUUGAAUGCAUGUUUUUCACUUAAUUAGGUCAUGUUUUUCUAAAAUUUAAAUUUUUCUUCUUCCUAUAGCCCUGCCAUAGGACAGGCUGAGGCAGAGUCUCAGUGUUGCCCUGUUCAGUCUGAGGCAAGUGGGAUUUAUUUUAUUCAUUCUGGGGGCUUUCACAGCGUUAUGGCUGUUGGAUAUCCAUGUCCCCAAACUUGCAGCAAGUUUGGUGAAGGCCCCUAAAUUUAACUUAACUUAGGAUUUUUGUAAUCUUUUGGUAGAUGGGCUCUAUAUUAAUACUCAUAUUUUUGACUGUGGUGUCUUUUUAAAAGUUGGGGGGAGGGAAAUAUGUUUUAAAAUGUUUGGUAUUUUUGAUACUGAUGGAAGUUUCUGUCUGUUAAAUGGCCAAUCACUGAAAUCUUUAAGCCACUGCCACUGUAUUCUGAAUUUUAUUUGUGCUGUUUAGGUUGGCUGCCUUCUAAAACUGGAACUGCAUGUAGCUUUUGAACUUAGAGUGUAAACCUGAUUUUAGCUAUGGGAAAUUAUGUUAGUGUUGUUUAAAAUCCAGAAGUUUCAUUUUAAGACUUUCCUGCUUCUAUUGAAGUUCUUUUAUAAAAUAAUCCAUUAUUGAGAACAUAAAAUAAGCGGUAUUUGUGCAACCGUAAUCAUUUAAUACUGUGCCCUUAAAAGGGAGGAUAUUAUGGUGAUGGGGUGAUGUAUUGCAUUUGCAAGUUACACCACAAAUAUUAAUGUAGAGCCCUCUGGAGAAGAAAUGCAGGUUUGAGUUGGUAAAAUAGAAAAAAGGGGGGGGGGGCGGAAUGAAAAAUUGAAGCAAUAAAUUCUGCAGAAGUGUCAGUUUGACAGAUGACUACAUUAAACUUCUUAAAUUUCUGCUGUAUAGCAACAGUACAUUCUAAAGUUUUGGCAUUCAGUGACAAUUUGGAGGGAUUUUGCAUUGUAACAUGAACAUGUUGAAUACUUAUUACUGGGAAAUCUUUUACCAGCAACAUUGCUGGUAGGACUUUAGUGUUCCUCUAAGAAAAUGAGGAUUGUAACUUCUGAAAUACUUGCUAACAUUUUUAAAGUACUGUUUGAGUAAACCUCCUGACCCCUUAGUUUUCUUUGGCAAAUAUUUGGUCUAGACAACAGAGGCUUAUGCAGACAACCUCAGUCUCAAAAGAAUAUGCUUUGUGUCUAUGUGGGCUUGAUGUUGGGAGCUGUUUUUUUUUCACAAUUUGUAACUUGAAAGUCAUUUGUUUUCCUAAUUUAAUUUAAUUUGACACUUUCUCAAACUUGUCAUCUGAAGUACGGUGAGCCAUAAAUAGUUUUUUUUUAUUUCUCAAAUGAUUUUCCUUUUUAUAGCAGACCAUAAACUUGUAGCUUACAGCAAGCGAGUGUUGCUCACUCUCUUUUUACUACACGGGUGAAAAUUGCCUUGAAGAGUGUGACUUGGUCCUUCUGCCAUGUUCUCUUCCAGCUUUAACAACCUGCCCCCUCCAGCUCACCACCUGACCCCAUUCUGGGUUUCUGAUCCUUCUGAUCUACUCCUGUUUUAAUGAUGAAAGUCAACAUCUGCUCCGAUUUUAUUAAUUCCCCCUCAUGAUUGAGCAGUGUAUUUUUCCUUCCUAAUUCUUUUGCAUUGUUACCAUGGGUACCAGUGAAGAUACUGUACUACAGAAAUUCGUAUUUCGAACAAGCUGGGUUGGUUCUGUUCUGUCUCCAUAUGUGCAUAUAACAAGUUUGUAAACCUCCUUUUUCCAGAAGAGAUCUGAAUAAAGGUUGUAUGUAUUGCUUCAUCUUUAAAGACUCAAUGAGUGAAAAAAUAAACAAGCAUUGGGUGUUUCAUAUUAAAAAUCACUGACUGUCACCUCUUACCAUUUAAGAGACUGGUACAGUUCUGUAAAUAGUUCUUUCAUUCAGAGGUUGAUGUUGUUGUUGUUAUUAUUAUCAUUUAUUAUUUUGGUUAAGUCUGUAUGUAUAUUUUGAACUAGAUGUGUAUAAAGGUAGAGUUUGGCUACUGUUUACACUCUACCUUUUCCAGAGAAUAUGUCCUCGAAAUGGGUAUCCUGACUUUAGCCACACACAAGUUACGUUCAGUAAAUCCACUUUGUGGCAGUUGAUUUGAAUAGAAAGUUAAAAACUUUUCCAGCUGCUUUAAUGUCUGAUAUUUUUUUUGACCCAUGGGAAAUGACUUGCACUUCAUGUUUCUCUUGUACUAGUCUCUUUGUCUAGUACCCAUUCAUAGCUCUCAGCUUCCCCAGAUCAAGCUAGGGAUAUUUUUCUUUUCCUUGCAAGUGUGAAGCUUUUCAGUGUCCCUCCUGUGUGUGGAUCUAAGGAGGAUACUUCCAGAAAAAUUUCAACUGUAAACAUUUUCCUACUUCAAAGUAUAACAGUAUGUGUGUGUUUUACUAAUACGGUACAGUGUGCCCUUACUAAACCAGCAAUCCAUGUAGUAGAUUUACUGAAGACUAUGGCAACUCAUGAAUAAGCUCUGCUGAAAUGCUUAACUGCUAGAUCAGAUGAAUUUGCACACCACUCUUCACAUGCAAAGUAAAUGAAAGGCAUGGUAAAUUAAAUACAGCAUAUACUAUCCAUUAAGUUCUUGGCUGCCUUAGAAUGUUGUUUAACUAGUUUCACAGAAUAUUUGCGUGUAGCAAAUAUCAAAUGCUGUCUGAGAAACAAUGAAAAUACUUAAUAGCAGUGCCUGCCUCAGAUAAGUUUACCAGAGGUUUUUAUGUAUAAUGACUAGGAUUGUUCUGUAGCCAUCUGGAAAAAUGCAGUUAAGUGGGUAAAAGGCCUCUUUUGCAUAAAUAUGGAUAGGGUGACCAUACCUCCCGGUUUGGCCAGGAUACUCCUGGAUUCCAUAUCCCUGUCCCAGCCAGUUGAUCAGAAGUCCUGGGCUGGAGUAUAGCAGGGAGGGGAGGGGGAGCAGCAUGGUGCAGUAGGCAGGCACUGCUGCUCCUGCGCAGGAGCAGAGACUUGUCAGUUGUGGGCAGGGUGCGUCUGCUCACCUUCCUCUUGCACAGGAGCAACAGUGCCUGCCUGGUGCACCAUGCUGGUCCACCUUCCUGCCAGACUCUGGCCUGGGACUUCAGACCAACCAGUUGGGAUGGGGCUAUAGAAUCCUGGAGUGUCCCAGCUGAACCAGGACUUAUGGUUACCUAGUUAUGGACCAUCUCUCUACUUACAGUAAAAACUGGUGCAGAUAUUGAUACUAAUUGGGAGUGAGGAAAAUAUUGAGGGAUUGCUGUUAUAGGGGACAAGGCAGAAAGACAGUGUUUGAAUAUGUUGUAUUAAUUAUAUGAGGAUAGACUUUUGAUGGAGUUGUGGAAGAGGCACUUCAUUAUCUGAAUAUUUUUGUAAAAUACACUACACAAAUGACAGCUUUCUGCUCUAGUUACUCAAUUGCAGUAGAGAGUAAGAAUUAUUAAUAGCUAGAGCAGCUAUACUAGCAUCCUGUUUCUGCUAGCAUGACUUUUAGCAACAAAGCUGCCUUUAAACUGCAGUCCCAGUGACAUUGGAAUCAUUAGCACCUCUCUGUUUGAAAGCCCAUCUUUACAUCUUUAAUCCCUAACAUCUUGCUUAGGUAGGGCACAUCUUAUUAUCCCUGGGUUUAAUUCCAGUUUCUAGGAUGUCCUUUUCAAACAUCUUCGUCAUUUUAACCAGUAUAGACUUGCAGAUUCCAAUACAGCUGACAGUUCACAAUACUGUAUCACAUCACUCAGCUCCAUGCCAUCUACUUUUUAAUAGGCAUUGAACUAUUUAGAAUAGGGAGUUUUUACUGGUCCUUGUUUGGCCAGAUGGAGAUAGGAGAAAGCAUGGCUAUCUAAGUAGCUGGCCAUAGACUGCAUGUGCCCUGCAAGGGUUAAGUUGCAACCCCUGGACUGUUGCCCAGUCACUGAUUCCCCUACCAGUCUGACUGCAGUAGCUGGAGUCUCCAAAAUCCCCCUCCUAGCUUCUUCCUGUCUCCAGGGGGCUGUGUGGCUGGGGCUACCUGGGUGCAUGGUAUAACCUACAGGGCAUCAGGCCCCCUGCCACUUAAAAGUGGGAGAGCCAGGAGGUAAAGCAUGAGUGUAAUGGAGAAGAAGUUGAAUUGGAUUGCUUCUGUGACUUCCACAUUUCAAGUUCCCUGGAAAAUACUCUUGAGUCAGUUAGCUUAAGCUUAAAAUCAUGUUCCUAAACUACCAAGCACCUAACUCAACUAUAUCUAGUAGCAUGUUAACUUGAAGGCUACAGUAAUUUGCCACUUAUCUGAAAGUUUGCAUACCAGCCUUUUGGUUACUUCUUCACUUGCCCAAACAGAAAUAAUCCAUUUUAAGCACACUGUUUUACAGUAACAACUUCACUUAUGUCAGGGUUUGUCUUAUCUAGGAUUUAAAAACAAAUAGAUUAUGUCAAUGGCAUAAUUUUAUGGGAUCAUUUUAAUAUGCAAAUAAAACCAUUUUAUGGGGCUAUAAAAUACUUUUUUUCUCUUGUCUCUUCAACAGAAGGGAGAAACAGAGGUAUUUUAAAAGGAGAGAAUACAGGGUUUGCUAGAGUCAGUUUGAAGUACAUCAAGUCCAAGCAUAUCUGCCCAGGAUUUUCCUCCCUUUUUUGGCCAAAUUGAGUAACUUCUAACCAUAUUUUAAUGGUCAUAUUUUUACUGUUGUCCCCUACCAUAGCUAACAGAUAUGUAUUUACCAGUCCUAACUGUAACUUCUUGGUUUUGGAUGUUGGAGUUUUCACCACACUUAAGAGCAACCUAUGUUCACUCAAAGGAAUAUAUUCACUUUGUUGUGACUUGCAAUGUCCUACAACAUUUCAAGGGUUAAAGGCACUUUCGCUUCUGUUGCCUCAUUGAAGCACAUGUACUCUUUGGGUGCUGAAUUCUGAAACUCCCCUUAAAUUCUGGUGGGGGCAAAUGUAGUCUGCAUCUUUUAGAUUAAAUGUAUAACUUGCAUAAGUAAAUUAUACAGAUUCCCCACCUACUCCACAAAGUGCUCUUUAAGAGGGUUACUCUUGCAGCACGCAUUACUUGUUUCCUGAGAUUUACCCUAAUAGAUGUCUGGGAUGUGGGGUAGAAAAACAUAUGAAAUUCAAGACAAAAUCAAAGUAAUAUUAGCUGCCUUUACUUGAAGCUUACAAUUUUUAAGGGGCAGAUUGCAACAAUUGAGGCUUGACAAUUUUUUUUUAAUGAAAAACUUUAAAUUAUGGAUUAAACUCCUUGGUUUAAUAAAAUUUGUGUUUUUGUUAACUAGCAGCAGAAUUUCAGCAUUUGGUUCUUACUGGUAGAGAAGAAAAAUCCUACAGCACUGCCAGUACAGGUUAGUUUAAUCUGUAAGUACCUGAUGUUCCUAUUUGAAAUACUUUGUUCAAAUAAUACUCUUUGAAUACAUGAAGAGAGAGUUUUUUUUAAUUUAUUUGAAUGUGAUGCAUCAGUCUGUCAUGUAGGGUGUAUCUACUGCUGUCUUCAGUAGUGAACAAACUUGUAGAACUCGGCUUUUGUUUUGUGGAUUUUUUUUAAUCACAUGCAAUGAUUCAGACCAAAGGUUAAGGGUCACAACUUCCUGUAAGAACCUAUUUAAGGGAAAUAAUAAAUUACAGCGUGCUAAACAGCCAUUUUAUCAGCCUUGAAAAAGGUAAUGGAUGCUUAAGUUUGGAAUCAGGGUCAGUUCUUGAAUAACUUGCUUAUUUCAAAAAGGGAGGCCAUUUUAUCGCUAAUAGGAUUUAAUGUUCUCUCUUUUAUGUUUAGAAAAUGGGUAUUCCUGCUGGUAACAAAAUAGCAGCAGUAAUUUAACCUUGCCUUAAAUCUUUUUGUGGAUGACAACUUUUCAAGGGACUUUAUAUGCACCUUCCAGACUUAGUGCUUUAUUGCAUCUUUAAUGCAGUCAGCCCUAUAGCAUUGAACUUGCUGUUUUCCGAAAUCCAUCCCAGCCCUUUUCAACACAUUAGAGGUCCUACAGAGUUCCCUGUGAAGAUUAAUUUAGGCCAGUCCAAAAUUAUUGCCUUUCCUUUCCUUUCUUUGCUUUUUUCCCCUUCAGUUUUCAUACCAUGUUUUAUUUGUUUACAUUUUUAAACAGGUAGUACUUUGGAUUUUUAGUUUAUUGUAUGGUGUGUCCUGAGCAUCUCAAGUUUCAGGAAGUAAAAUUUGGAUCUGUACGCACAUGAAUUAAAAAUAAAUAAAAUCUAGCUCAGGUAUUCAGUUGUAUAAUAUUAACCGAAUCACCUACAUGAAAUAAAUAUUGUUUAAUCUUUACAGAACAGGUCUGCAAGUCAAGAAGUGAGCCUUACUUCCUGUUAUGAAUUAUGUAUUAUACUAAUAUACAAUGUGUUAACCUUUCUAUGCUGUAUCUGAGAGGGCAUAAAGCUUAGAAACAAUAGAUGGGCCUUUUCAGAUCUUUGGAUUGAAAGUGAGAUAAAAGCACAAAAUAAAAAUAUUAAGGACACCAAUAGAUGGUAUGGCAAUUGGAGAAAAAUAACUCAUUUAAAUAAGCGCAGCAAACUAAUGGUCAGUGUGGUAGCGAUGGUUGCAGUAACUGUAAUUCCAUAUUUGAAUUGUUCAUCUUUCAAAACUGCAUUUUCAAUCAUGUUAAUUAUUUGUAUGGAUAAAAGACUACUGGGGGGAGGGGGAAUGUCGUAGUGUUAGUGCACAUUCCCCUCGACUUUUUUUUAAGUCUUCAGCCAUUUCAUAUGUAAGUGUAUGCCU
Long non-coding RNA from Gavialis gangeticus (Gharial), 7029 nucleotides. RefSeq lists it as uncharacterized. Lineage: Eukaryota; Metazoa; Chordata; Crocodylia; Gavialidae. The transcript is spliced from 2 exons. The record is from RefSeq and is a predicted model, not a curated record.